This 74-nucleotide transfer RNA is filed under the name Chloroflexota bacterium. RNAcentral's name for it is "Chloroflexi bacterium tRNA-Gln". It matches the Rfam family "tRNA". From Rfam's summary of the family: Transfer RNA (tRNA) molecules are approximately 80 nucleotides in length. Their secondary structure includes four short double-helical elements and three loops (D, anti-codon, and T loops). The record is from RNAcentral. RNAcentral also lists the same sequence under 1 other name. Lineage: Bacteria; Bacillati; Chloroflexota.
UGCCAGAUUGUGUAAUGGUAGCACUACGGACUUUGAAUCCGUCUGUCUAGGUUCGAAUCCUAGUCUGGCAGCCA